Molecule: ribosomal RNA, 253 nt
Filed under: uncultured bacterium
Lineage: Bacteria
Description: partial 16S ribosomal RNA
Rfam family: Bacterial small subunit ribosomal RNA
Source: RNAcentral
UACGUAGGGGGCAAGCGUUGUCCGGAUUUAUUGGGCGUAAAGAGCGCGUAGGCGGCUUGGCAGGUCCGUUGUGAAAACUGGAGGCUUAACCUCCAGCUGUCGAUGGAAACCAUCUGGCUAGAGUCCGGAAGAGGAGAGUGGAAUUCCUGGUGUAGCGGUGAAAUGCGCAGAUAUCAGGAAGAACACCCGUGGCGAAGGCGGCUCUCUGGGACGGUACUGACGCUGAGACGCGAAAGCGUGGGGAGCGAACAGG